AACGACUUUCCACCAUCAAGGAAGUAGGAAGUGCGCGUCGGAACAAGUAAAUUUUAAUAGUGCCAGAGUGCAUCGAGAGCAAAUAGAGAAGAUAGAAAAAGAUUGUUAUAAGAAAUAAAAGAAAUUAUAAGAGAAAAGAUAAGAGCUAAAAAGAAGAAGAGAAGCGGAAGAGAAAAAAAAGCGGGCCUUUUUUUUAUAUUUCAUCUUUUUCUCCGCCGAGACGUGUGGUACCCGCCAUUGAAAUAAGGGACGUUCGACUGCAAUUUCCGCCAUUGAUAGUCGACGUCGAGUAAGGAUACCGGAACCAGAAGAGCCAUAUUCACGCUUGGAGGUUACAGCGGGGAUUUUAUCCGGUUAAACGAUGGAGAAAGAAGAGAAAAACUACACGAAAAGUACUGCAAGUAUAAAAGCAUAAAAUUUAGUGACGUCACAAUUAGGACAGAGGAAGAAGUG
Long non-coding RNA from Toxorhynchites rutilus septentrionalis, 453 nucleotides. RefSeq lists it as uncharacterized. NCBI's taxonomy places the organism in Eukaryota, Metazoa, Arthropoda, Insecta, Diptera, Culicidae. The transcript has 3 exons. The record is from RefSeq and is a predicted model, not a curated record.